GUCCACGCCUAACGAUGUCAACUGGUUGUUGGAGGUUCUUCUCAGUAACGUAGCUAACGCGUGAAGUUGACCGCCUGGAGUACGGCCGCAAGGUUGAACUCAAGGAAUUGACGGACCGCACAAGCGGUGGAUGAUGUGGUUAAUUCGACGCAACGCGAACCUUACCUACCUUGACAUGUCUGGAAUUUGCAGAGAUGUGAAGUGCUCGAAAGAGAACCAGAACACAGGUGCUGCAUGGCCGUCGU
This 245-nucleotide ribosomal RNA is filed under the name uncultured bacterium. Its description in RNAcentral is "partial 16S ribosomal RNA". It matches the Rfam family "Bacterial small subunit ribosomal RNA", at positions 793 to 1055 of the family's 1533-position model. The record is from RNAcentral.